AGCUAGAGGGGCUCUUGGCUGGCCAAAGGGAAUGGCUGCACCAUGGACAACUCAGUGCUGGUGGUCACUGAGGAAGAGCUCCUGGCUAGCUACUGGGUCUGAAUGUAGAAGAGCCCUGAGAUUUUCCUUUCCGUACAGCCAAUGGGAAAGUUAUAAACAAGGGAAUAUUGCAGCAGGACCCCUGUGGAGAGUUGGCUGGAUGUGACCGAGUGAGCAUCGUAUGAGUGCAAGGCAGCAAAAACCCCACCAACAUCCCCAGCAGCUGUAGACAAUAGACUACCCCAAACAUGAGAAGUAGGGCAUGGUCCUGUGGCUCUAGUUAACCACCGACCUUCUCAGAGGCUGCUGGUGGAGGGAGAGGUCUGGGGCCUAUGUCAGACCCCACUCACACCACUGCUGGAAGCAAAAGCCGUGCUAAAGAGCUACAGAUGGUACUAGCAGAGUGGCAGGAACUGUACUAAAGACAGCAUCACAUCAGUGUCUGGCCAAGUCACCCCUUGGAAAAGAACAUGCUGACUUUGGGGAAGCUUGGUGACCUCAUGAGGAAAUAGACAGCUCAGGAUGACAGCUCUGCAGUAAGAAGGGCUUCUUUACAAUAGCUGGAGACCCUGCUGGGAAGAGAAGUGACCCACUGAGCUGCCUUAAGGAGUCUUCAGUGGCUGGUCAAGCUGUGAUCUCGGCUGCAUGGCCCUUGCACGUGAACUUCCCUGGAGAGAACAGGAGCACUUGUGGCACCUUGGAGACUGGAGAGCGAUUUCAAGGAAGAUCAUUUUGGGGAGAACCAAAGCAGAAACUUCCAGCUUCCAGGCUUCCCUCAGGGAAGGGUCUUGUCAAUUCGUGUGAGCCCUUCCCCCACCUAUCCCCGCUAUAGUGAUCUCAGCUGUACGGGUGCUGUGUCGGGGCCUCUCACCAGAGUUCACUUCCCUCCACUGCAGCUUCAGCCAAGACCCCCCUCAAUGUUGCCUCUUGUUGGGAAGUCUCCUCCGUGCCCCCUCUUUGCAAAGCCCUCUGUGGAGAGGGUGACAGGACCCCUGAGCGGAGUUCUUGCCUCCAGGUAGGACCUUGUUCCCCUCAGUCUUGUUCUCUCCGUUCAGUGACAUUAUCUGACCAACUUGGGGCUCGUGUACAGUCCUGGUGAGGACCCAAAAGGUCAUGGAGGGUUUCAGGUAGAAAGCUUGGGCAGUGAGUUCUCCAGCUGUACUUCCCCUGUCCGCUGCUCUUUCCCCUGUUCACCAAUGGAUGGUGGCAAUGAGCCAUGUAACAUCUGUGGAUCAGGCUGCCAGGCUCACACAUUGCCUGGGCUGGUAGCUGUGAGCUCUGCUACCAGCUCCAGAGUUCCAGUACCAUGGUGACUGACACUCGUAAAACACAGACAAGGUGGGUGAAGCAGGUAAUCUCUUACUGAACC
Long non-coding RNA from Mauremys reevesii (Reeves's turtle), 1408 nucleotides. RefSeq lists it as uncharacterized. The transcript is spliced from 3 exons. The record is from RefSeq and is a predicted model, not a curated record. Lineage: Eukaryota; Metazoa; Chordata; Testudines; Geoemydidae.